AUGUCCAGUUGGUUUGAGGUGGAUAUGUACAUACGCAGCAUGUUACCAGCUUGGGUUCCAAAUGAAAAUUAUGUGUGGUCACAGUUCAUGAGAAAGUUGAUAAAAAUCGCAGCUAUACAAUUUCUAAAAGAACAUACACCUCCAGAAGGGGCUAAGAAUUCAGAAGUGUUUAUGAAAAGCUACAAGAUCUGAGAGCAUCUUUUCAAAAUGGCAAGUGAGGUUGUUUAUGCAGAGGUAUCAGCCAAGGAAAGAGUGCAUUUCACUUCUCAAACUUCAGAUACAGGUGAUCCAACCAUAUACACAGAGCUGAAGGUGAAUCGGCAAUCUGACAGACCUGACAGCACACCCAAGACUACACAUACAGUGACCUGCUUGCAGAACCCACACUGGUGUUACAUUGCUGCCACCCUGUACUUCACUGCACUGAUUCUGCUUAUCACUGUCAUCAUCUUGGCGACGAAAUGUCAAUACCUCUGAGGGAGACCCUGCUGUCGUGCUGAUUUACAGGAUAACUCAGCACAGGAAGGCUCUGCUUCUUCAACAAAACAAGACAUAAUGCUUAUUUACUUUUGCAUUAUUUUUUUCUGAAGAAACUUUUAUGAAAGAAAAGAUACCAUCAGUCUGACCACCCUUCAGUUCUGUCUUUCAGGAUCUCCAUUAAACCUUUAACCUCUCCAUAUGUGGACAAAACAUAUUUUAUUACUUUUAUUUGGAAUUUGCUUAAUCCUAUAAUACCAGCAACCAUGCAAUUAUAUCAGUGUAUGCACCAAGGCAUGGGCUUAAGCUGCUGCAUCAAAAGUUGGAACUGGAUCUUGUCCAGACAACACAUCACCAGGUGGCUCAGUUUGAGACAUUACUUUUAAUUCACACCUGACUUGAUUUUGCAAUAAUUUGCAGCAUAGGUAGGCUUUUAGAUUCCAUAUGUGCAAGUGCAAAAAAUUGUGGGUAAAACAGAGAAUGUGAAAGGUUGCACUGAACUUUUUUUGAAGCCCAUGGUUGGAUGUGAUUUUUCUUCUGACAGCCUUCAGUGGGAUUUGUAUGAAACGAGUAUUGAAGGUGAAAGAAACUACUUGUUUAGUAGAAAAGUCUCAGCCCCAUCACCUGCAUUGGCUUGAAUAAAAUUAUUCUGUUCUACUUGUCCAGAAGAGCAUCUCACAGAGAUACAAUAUGUUUCUUCUGUCUCAGGUCAUAUUUGUAUUUGUUUUGUUUUUUCCCAAAAUGCUGUAGCUUCAUUUAAAUCAGAGUCCUCCACCGGAACUGAGCCACCUCAGGUUCAAAUGCAUUUGUCCGUAAUUACUAUUUUGCUGUCUGUUUUUAUAUUAUUUUCAGUUCCCAUCAGUUAUAAUUUCUUUGGAACAGGCUGAUAUCAAUGAUUUAUAGACCCUGAGUAACAAGGGUCUGUAUAGCAAAUAUUUCUAGAAUUGUUCCCUGUACCUAAGCAUAUCUGUACUUAAGCCAUGUUGCUGCUGUUGAUAAUAUACCACAUUUUUAUAGUGUAUGCACCAGAAAUCAAUAAAGAGAUUUAGUAAAGCACUUGA
Long non-coding RNA from Falco peregrinus (peregrine falcon), 1538 nucleotides. RefSeq lists it as uncharacterized. The transcript is spliced from 5 exons. NCBI's taxonomy places the organism in Eukaryota, Metazoa, Chordata, Aves, Falconiformes, Falconidae. The record is from RefSeq and is a predicted model, not a curated record.